RNAcentral lists this ribosomal RNA (253 nucleotides) under uncultured bacterium. Its description in RNAcentral is "partial 16S ribosomal RNA". It matches the Rfam family "Bacterial small subunit ribosomal RNA", at positions 524 to 776 of the family's 1533-position model. The record is from RNAcentral.
UACGGAGGGUGCGAGCGUUGUCCGGAUUUAUUGGGUUUAAAGGGUGCGUAGGUGGCUUUAUAAGUCAGUGGUGAAAUACAGCCGCUCAACGGUUGAGGUGCCAUUGAUACUGUAGAGCUUGAAAUAAUUGGAGGCUGCCGGAAUGGAUGGUGUAGCGGUGAAAUGCAUAGAUAUCAUCCAGAACACCGAUUGCGAAGGCAGGUGGCUACGAUUUAUUUGACACUGAGGCACGAAAGCAUGGGGAGCAAACAGG